This is a long non-coding RNA of Mastomys coucha (southern multimammate mouse), 434 nucleotides long. RefSeq lists it as uncharacterized. The transcript has 2 exons. Lineage: Eukaryota; Metazoa; Chordata; Mammalia; Rodentia; Muridae. The record is from RefSeq and is a predicted model, not a curated record.
AUGAUACUCCUGCGGCCUCCCACAUGGUCCUGUGCAUCCCACAUGGCUCUAGGUUAUUUUGAGUCAGCCCAUCCCACGCAAAGGACUACAGUUGUCUGACACAAUGGGCAGAGAAGACCUGGACUUCCAUGAAGACUGCUUUCUGCAGACCUUGAUGGAAUGAGCUGACUCAUGCCCUGUUCAGAGACUCAUUAGCACUGGACCACGUACUGGCUUGAUUUUCUUUGAAAGACUACUUCUGUACCUGAUGUCAGAAAUGUUGCAGGCUCAGGAAGAAUGAUUGUCCUUGCACAUCAAUUUUGCCACUACUCUAAUCUAGCAGGUUUUGUUCAGCCUGAUCUUAAUGAUUCGGACUUGAAAUUUCAUCAGCAGAGGAAACAGAAAAGAACAUUCAAGUAUAAAACCAGUUUCAGAUUGGCUGUUCUUUGAGCUAA